UUGUUGUAUGAAAGGAGAGAAGCUAGCCCUCCCUUUGACGAGGAUGGAAGAGGACCUUAAGCCUGACAACAAGCAUGUUGCUUAAGGCAUUGAUACUACAUUUUUAUGUGUGUGUAUUAUUUUC
This is a small nuclear RNA of Perognathus longimembris pacificus (Pacific pocket mouse), 124 nucleotides long. NCBI's taxonomy places the organism in Eukaryota, Metazoa, Chordata, Mammalia, Rodentia, Heteromyidae. The record is from RefSeq and is a predicted model, not a curated record.